This 444-nucleotide long non-coding RNA is filed under the name Setaria viridis. Its description in RNAcentral is "long non-coding RNA (SVIR_LNC006439)". The record is from RNAcentral. Lineage: Eukaryota; Viridiplantae; Streptophyta; Magnoliopsida; Poales; Poaceae.
UCUCUACUCCCUGGUUCAUGAGUUUAAACAAAUAUCAUCUCUGAUUUUAAAAAUUAAACUUAGAAUUAAAAUGAACCUUAGCUGAAAACAUGCUCCUUAUGGUUGGUAUACAUGAUCUAUAUUCCUUGCUUGCACUUGUUUGCUUGUGAACCUAUAUUUUUAGGAAAGCAUGCUACCUAGGUUGUUGAUGUUUGAGAUAUGGCAUGAUAAAAUGAACCUUACUCUUUUCUCUCCAAAGUAUUUGGGAAAUUUAUCUUGAAAAAUAAUGACCUAUCUAGCUCCUCAAUGAUAUGCCUCCAUCCUACCAGAGCCAUAUGAUGAUCAUAUUGAAAAUCCCACACACAUAUGCUGCUUGCUAUCAUGUUGAGCUUUGCCAGAUUGUUGUGACCCUUGUGGAAUAUGCUUCAUACUUUCAUGAUCAAGAUCACGUACACUCCACUUCCA